Long non-coding RNA from Ornithodoros turicata, 541 nucleotides. RefSeq lists it as uncharacterized. The transcript has 3 exons. The record is from RefSeq and is a predicted model, not a curated record. Lineage: Eukaryota; Metazoa; Arthropoda; Arachnida; Ixodida; Argasidae.
UUGACUCAAGGCCACAAUGGGACUAUAAAGCCUGCAGCAAGGAUAUAAGUUAUCAUGUACAUGCAAAGACCGACACCCCACAGUCAAGCUCAUAUUCAAACGAUUCCUUUGAAAGUAACCAAGCAUGAAGACCACAUUUUUCAUCUGCGUUCUCGGAAUUGCAGUGUACAUGAUUCCGGAAGGAAAUACUGAAUCUCCCCCGUACCCAUAUCCGCCUGUGUGUGGUCCUGGCGAGGAAUUUCGUGGAUGUACUCACCCGUGUCCUCCGGUCUGCGGACAGCCACCUCCAGAUGAGUGCACAAGGCAUUGCGAAAACACCAGAUGUGACUGCAAAGAAGGGUAUAUCAGGUCUGGCAGCGCGAACGGUCCUUGUAUUCCGCUCAGCGAAUGCAAAAGCCAACUGCCGACGAAGUGAUCAGAUGCGCCUUGAAGGCCUAUAUGGGUGAUAUUGUGCCAGCCAUUCGAGACACCAUAUCGCAACUGAAGAUAACGCCAGAUUUUUUUUUGCGACAGUAUACGUAAUAAAAAGUCUUAUCCUAGA